GAACGCUGGCGGCGUGCCUAACACAUGCAAGUCGAGCGAAGUAUAUCUGAGGGAAAUUUUCGGAUGGAACUUAGAUAUAUCUUAGCGGCGGACGGGUGAGUAACGCGUGAGCAACCUGCCUUUCACAAAGGGAUAGCCUCGGGAAACUGGGAUUAAUACCAUAUAAAACUUGUCUUUCGCAUGAAAGAAAAGUCAAAGCGAAUAAGCGGUGAAAGAUGGGCUCGCGUCCUAUUAGCUAGUUGGUGAGGUAACGGCUCACCAAGGCGACGAUAGGUAGCCGGCCUGAGAGGGUGAACGGCCACACUGGAACUGAGACACGGUCCAGACUCCUACGGGAGGCAGCAGUGGGGAAUAUUGGGCAAUGGGCGAAAGCCUGACCCAGCAACGCCGCGUGAGGGAAGAAGGUUUUCGGAUCGUAAACCUCUGUCCUUGGGGACGAAUAAAUGACGGUACCCAAGGAGGAAGCCCCGGCUAACUACGUG
RNAcentral lists this ribosomal RNA (482 nucleotides) under uncultured bacterium. RNAcentral describes it as "bacterial SSU rRNA". It matches the Rfam family "Bacterial small subunit ribosomal RNA", at positions 31 to 507 of the family's 1533-position model. The record is from RNAcentral.